This 253-nucleotide ribosomal RNA is filed under the name uncultured bacterium. Its description in RNAcentral is "partial 16S ribosomal RNA". It matches the Rfam family "Bacterial small subunit ribosomal RNA", at positions 524 to 776 of the family's 1533-position model. The record is from RNAcentral.
UACGUAGGGGGCAAGCGUUGUCCGGAAUUAUUGGGCGUAAAGAGCGCGUAGGCGGUCCGAUAAGUCGGCUGUGAAAGUCAGGGGCUCAACCCUUGAAAGCCGGCCGAUACUGUCGGACUAGAGUCCGGAAGAGGCGAGUGGAAUUCCCGGUGUAGCGGUGAAAUGCGCAGAUAUCGGGAGGAACACCAAUGGCGAAGGCAGCUCGCUGGGACGGUACUGACGCUGAGACGCGAAAGCGUGGGGAGCGAACAGG